AACGAACGCUGGCGGCAUGCCUAACACAUGCAAGUCGAACGAAGGCUUCGGCCUUAGUGGCGCACGGGUGCGUAACGCGUGGGAAUCUGCCCUUUGGUUCGGAAUAACAGCUGGAAACGGCUGCUAAUACCGGAUGAUGACGAAAGUCCAAAGAUUUAUCGCCAGAGGAUGAGCCCGCGUUGGAUUAGGUAGUUGGUGGGGUAAAGGCCUACCAAGCCGACGAUCCAUAGCUGGUCUGAGAGGAUGAUCAGCCACACUGGGACUGAGACACGGCCCAGACUCCUACGGGAGGCAGCAGUGGGGAAUAUUGGACAAUGGGCGCAAGCCUGAUCCAGCAAUGCCGCGUGAGUGAUGAAGGCCCUAGGGUUGUAAAGCUCUUUUAACCGGGAAGAUAAUGACUGUACCGGGAGAAUAAGCCCCGGCUAACUCCGUG
RNAcentral lists this ribosomal RNA (433 nucleotides) under uncultured bacterium. Its description in RNAcentral is "partial 16S ribosomal RNA". It matches the Rfam family "Bacterial small subunit ribosomal RNA", at positions 29 to 507 of the family's 1533-position model. The record is from RNAcentral.